Molecule: ribosomal RNA, 468 nt
Filed under: uncultured bacterium
Lineage: Bacteria
Description: partial 16S ribosomal RNA
Rfam family: Bacterial small subunit ribosomal RNA
Source: RNAcentral
GACGAACGCUGGCGGCGUGCUUAACACAUGCAAGUCGAACGGAAAGGCCCUGCUUUUGUGGGGUGCUCGAGUGGCGAACGGGUGUGUAACACGUGAGUAACCUGCCCUUGACUUUGGGAUAACUUCAGGAAACUGGGGCUAAUACCGGAUAGGAGCUCCUGCCGCAUGGUGGGGGUUGGAAAGUUUCGGCGGUUGGGGAUGGACUCGCGGCUUAUCAGCUUGUUGGUGGGGUAGUGGCUUACCAAGGCUUUGACGGGUAGCCGGCCUGAGAGGGUGACCGGCCACAUUGGGACUGAGAUACGGCCCAGACUCCUACGGGAGGCAGCAGUGGGGAAUAUUGCACAAUGGGCGGAAGCCUGAUGCAGCAACGCCGCGUGCGGGAUGACGGCCUUCGGGUUGUAAACCGCUUUCGCCUGUGACGAAGCGUGAGUGACGGUAAUGGGUAAAGAAGCACCGGCUAACUACGUG